RNAcentral lists this ribosomal RNA (508 nucleotides) under Plasmodium coatneyi. Its description in RNAcentral is "SSU rRNA". It matches the Rfam family "Eukaryotic small subunit ribosomal RNA", at positions 625 to 1104 of the family's 1831-position model. The record is from RNAcentral. Lineage: Eukaryota; Apicomplexa; Aconoidasida; Haemosporida; Plasmodiidae.
AUCGCUUUUAGCUUAAAUCCACAUAACAGACACUUCGUGUCGACUUUGCUGCGCAUUUUCGCUAUUAUGUGUUCUUUUAAUUAAAAUGAUUCUUUUUAAAUCUCUAAUAUUUGCUUCGGCAUUUUUGGAGAUUUGUUACUUUGAGUAAAUUAGAGUGUUCAAAGCAAACAGAUAUAGCAUUUGUGCGUUUGAAUACUACAGCAUGGAAUAACAAAAUUGAACAAGUCAAAAUUUUUGUUCUUUUUUCUUAUUUUGGCUUAGUUACGAUUAAUAGGAGUAGCUUGGGGGCAUUUGUAUUCAGAUGUCAGAGGUGAAAUUCUUAGAUUUUCUGGAGACAAACAACUGCGAAAGCAUUUGCCUAAAAUACUUCCAUUAAUCAAGAACGAAAGUUAAGGGAGUGAAGACGAUCAGAUACCGUCGUAAUCUUAACCAUAAACUAUGCCGACUAGGCUUUGGAUGAAAGAUUUUAAAAUAAGAGUUUUCCUUUCCCUUCGGGUUAGGACUCAAU